RNAcentral lists this unclassified non-coding RNA (2764 nucleotides) under Hevea brasiliensis (rubber tree). The record is from RNAcentral. Lineage: Eukaryota; Viridiplantae; Streptophyta; Magnoliopsida; Malpighiales; Euphorbiaceae.
CUCGAUGGCACGUAAAUCCACAUUUGUGCUCUCCUCACCGACAGCGAUCCUUGCUUUUCUUUCACACUCCCUCCUCCUUCCCUCCACAUCCACCGUCACCUGCAUCUCUGAAUCUCCCCCUUCAAAUUCGCCGCUAACAUCUCCUUCUCUCUCUUCUCUCUCUUUCUCUCUCUGGCCAUGGAUUUCGCAUAUCGAAGCAGAUCUUAUCCCAUUCUUCUUCUCAUUCUCACAUACUUAUUCUUCUUCCUAUCUUCAACAAUAAAUCUCACCAAUGCCUCUAUCCACAUCUACGACAAAGAAUCCUUGAACGAAGUUGGAAAUGCUUACCUUCUUUCCGGUGGCAGCGAAGGCAUUUUUGCCUCUGAUUCUUCCACCCCAAAUGGCCGUUCUUAUAUCAGGUUUAGGGAUAUCACUCUUUGGAGGACCAAGGAGGCUGCUGAUGAGCAUUCAGAAAUGGAACACAGUACAGGAUUGGUACAGGUUGUGAUUUUUGAGGCAGCUGACCGGAAUAAUAUUGGCGGUUCUGCUUAUGGUGGACAAAGAUCUAUUUGUUGUACCCCUGAUCUUGCUAAGCUGGAAGGUUGCAAGCAAGGUGAAGUCAUUAGGAUACCUUCAGCGACAGACAAUAAGUGGCCUAUUGUUUUGAAUGUACAAUUCAGUGGUAACUACUUAUCUACAAACAUACGAGAUGAGUAUGUUAAUGUCACGAAGACUGGGAUGUAUAACUUAUUCUUUAUCACAUGUGAUCCAAAACUCAAGGGACUAGUAAUGAGUGGGAAGACAGUUUGGAAGAAUCCUGAUGGUUAUUUACCUGGUAGGAUGGCCCCUUUAAUGAGGUUUUACGUGCUCAUGUCUCUUGCAUAUCUUUUGCUUAGUGUUAUUUGGUUUUUCCAGUACAUGAGGUUUUGGAAGGACAUAUUGCAACUUCAGCAUUGCAUCACAGCUGUUAUUGCCCUAGGAUUGUUUGAGAUGAUUCUUUGGUAUUCUGAGUAUGCAAAUUUUAACAGCACAGGAACUAGGCCAGUUGCAAUUACAACUUGGGUUGUGACCGUUGGAGCUAUAAGGAAAACUUUUUCUCGUCUUGUUAUACUCUCAAUUUCAAUGGGUUAUGGUGUCGUACGGCCCACUCUUGGUGGUCUUACCUCAAAGGUGCUUCUUCUUGGAUGUACAUAUUUUUUGGCGUCUGAGUUGCUCGGUAUUACUGAGUAUGUGGGGAGUAUUAAUGACAUAUCAGGAAGAGCAAGAUUGUUUCUAGUCCUUCCUGAUGCAUUCCUGGAUGCAUUUUUGAUACUGUGGAUAUUUACAUCGCUUUCAAGGACAUUGGAGCAGCUACAGGCAAAAAGAAGCUCUGUCAAGUUGGAUAUCUAUAGGAAGUUCUCAAAUGCACUAGCUGUGGCAGUUGUAACUUCUGUUACUUGGAUAGCCUAUGAGGUAUGAUAUGUGGGAAAGUGCACAUUGGCUUCUGUGCAAAUUUAUCACAUUUACUUGUAUUAUAUUCUUCAUUUACAUAGAUUGUCUUGGAAGAUGGAUGUAAAGUAUGUUCCAUUUACCAGUCAAAAAAUAAUCAUGUCUUUUCUGUUUUUCUAGUAGUGUGCUUGUAUUGGAAUUGAAAAAAUUGUAGUACAAUGUUUUCAUCUGGAAAAAAAUUUAUAUAUGCAAUGCAUUACUUUCCUCUUGAAUGUUGACACAGAGAACCCCCUCACAGCUUUCAUUUGCUAAUUGAGCAUAACUUAGGCUGGUUUACCUUACGCGGAUCACUUGCACAGUUGCACUUGUUAAGGAUUCAAUGAGCUAUUACCCUUAGACAUUGAGAUCUUUCAUACCAAAUAUCUUAGUUUUACAGAAAUUGCGAAGGAGAUUGUUAAAGAUAGUUGAUAGCCUGUUCUCUGGAAACAACCGGUAUCAUUUGCUGCUUCAAAUAUGAACUUUUAUUUUCCAUUUUGUUACUGAUCUUCUUUGCUUCUGUUUAGGAGGAAAACUUUUUUGUCCAAUAGAAUGUUGUUUUCUUGUAAACAAUAUGCAAAUAAUUUUUCUCCUCUAAUUAUUAAGCUGUGAAUGUGGUUUGCUUAGUUUGUUCUGAAUCUGAUAUUGCUUUCUUAUAGGUUUACUUCAAAGCAACAGAUCCAUUUAAUGAACGGUGGCAAAGUGCUUGGAUAAUUACUGCUUUCUGGGACAUUCUUGCAUUCGCCUUGCUUUGUGUUAUUUGCUAUCUCUGGGCUCCUUCUCAAAGCUCGCAACGGUAUGCCUACUCAGAAGAAGUGGGAGAGGAAUCUGUUGAUGAAGAAGCUCAUUCUCUAACAAGGGGAAAGACAGAUGGUGAUAUCAGUUUAGUUGAAAAGAAAGAGAAAAAUGCUGGGACCACAGAUGUUUAUGAUGAAACUGAAGAGGAUAAAAGAGAAUGAUUAUUUGUAAACAAAUUCUUUCAGCUGCAACCUCAUUCAGCAGUGCUGAACAAAUCGUGUCGAUUGAGCUCGAAGAGGUGAUUAGCUAUUAUUUCAGAGAUACUUCCACUAGACCUGCAGAGGAUUAAAAUUUUGACAUAAUGUGAUUAUGCUAAUUGUCCAGAAUGAAAAAAACUGCCAGGUGUCUUGUAUUUGUAUAUCAAUGAACAAAAGGUGGGUUGGAAAUGGAUACUUUGUUAGAGUACAUGAAAACAUUUUGAAUUUUAAUGCCCUAAUUGGGGCUUAGAUCAUAGUGAUUUGUAAUGAUUUUUAUCUAUUAUUUGUUCUUUUAACGGGUUUACACCCUUUUUUUUUAAGUGGAG